AUGUACAUGCAGGGGGGCUUCCGGCGAAAGCGGAAGCUGAGAUAGGCAAAUGCCUGACCCUUUGAACCUGUUGGUUAGGACCAACGUAGGGAGCAGACAAUGGGCGAUG
RNAcentral lists this non-coding RNA (109 nucleotides) under Bifidobacterium pseudocatenulatum. RNAcentral's name for it is "TPP sequence". It matches the Rfam family "TPP riboswitch aptamer (THI element)". Rfam says of the family: Vitamin B(1) in its active form thiamin pyrophosphate (TPP) is an essential coenzyme that is synthesised by coupling of pyrimidine and thiazole moieties in bacteria. The record is from RNAcentral. Lineage: Bacteria; Bacillati; Actinomycetota; Actinomycetes; Bifidobacteriales; Bifidobacteriaceae.